GACGAACCGUGCGAACGUUGUUCGGAAUUACUGGGCGUAAAGCGUGCGUAGACGGCUAUCUAAGUCGGGUGUGAAAGCCCCGGGCUCAACCUGGGAAUUGCAUUCGAGACUGAAUAGCUAGGGUGCGGUAGAGGGAAGCGGAAUUUCCGGUGUAGCGGUGAAAUGCGUAGAUAUCGGAAGGAACAUCAGUGGCGAAAGCGGCUUCCUGGACCAGCACCGACGUUCAGGCACGAAAGCGUGGGGAGCAAACAGG
Molecule: ribosomal RNA, 253 nt
Filed under: uncultured bacterium
Lineage: Bacteria
Description: partial 16S ribosomal RNA
Rfam family: Bacterial small subunit ribosomal RNA
Source: RNAcentral